UGUCCUUCUAUGACAUCUCCUCUGACUCUCUGAUCCACAUCCACACCUUCUGCUGCACGUUCACUGAACCUCUGUGUGCUGGGUUCAAGUUCUGGCCUGGUUCUGGUUCCUAAGUGUCUCUGUGUGGACUGUAGGACAGAGAGUCUCCUCCUGUGGACACAAACACUCGAUCACACACAUGAGAAGAGUGUU
This is a long non-coding RNA of Thalassophryne amazonica, 192 nucleotides long. RefSeq lists it as uncharacterized. The record is from RefSeq and is a predicted model, not a curated record. NCBI's taxonomy places the organism in Eukaryota, Metazoa, Chordata, Actinopteri, Batrachoidiformes, Batrachoididae. The transcript has 3 exons.